GAUGAACGCUGGCGGCGUGCUUAACACAUGCAAGUCGAACGGAAAAGCCCAAGUUUGCUUGGGUACUCGAGUGGCGAACGGGUGAGUAACACGUGGGUGAUCUGCCCUGCACUUCGGGAUAAGCCUGGGAAACUGGUUCUAAUACCGGAUAGGAGCACAUUUUGGAGGGUGUGGUGGAAAGUUUUUCGGUGUGGGUUGAGCUGGCGGCCUAUCAGCAUGUUGGUGGGGUAAUGGCCUACCAAGGCGUCGGCGGGUAGUCGGCCAGGGGGGGUGUACGGCCGCAUUGGGGCUGAGGGGCGGCCCAGACUCCUACGGGAGGCAGCAGUGGGGAAUAUUGCACCAUGGGCGCAAGCCUGGUGCAGCGACGCCGCGUGGGGGAUGACGGCCUUCGGUUUGUAAACUCCUUUCGCUAGGGACGAAGCGUUAUGUGACGGUACCUGGAGAAGAAGCACCGGCUAACUACGUG
Molecule: ribosomal RNA, 466 nt
Filed under: uncultured bacterium
Lineage: Bacteria
Description: partial 16S ribosomal RNA
Rfam family: Bacterial small subunit ribosomal RNA
Source: RNAcentral